This is a long non-coding RNA of Erigeron canadensis, 749 nucleotides long. RefSeq lists it as uncharacterized. Lineage: Eukaryota; Viridiplantae; Streptophyta; Magnoliopsida; Asterales; Asteraceae. The transcript has 3 exons. The record is from RefSeq and is a predicted model, not a curated record.
UAGAGGAAGAGAAGGAUGGAGAAAUCACCAGGGGAAUCGCGGAGCAACAAAGAAGCUGUUCCGCUAUAUUAUAAAGCAAUUCACUUUUGAUUUUCAUCUUCUCCAUAAUCGUUUGCUGUCUAAAAUGAGGUCUCAAGAUGAAGAAAAUAUUAACAGUAUCGUCACACAAGCUGGCAUGGACAAAGGAAAACGAAAGCAAUACCAAAUGUUUUUCUACAAUCCAUGGGUAAGAAUCUUGACGAUUUUGAUCUUCCAAGGUUGGCCAUUGAUGUUAACCUACAAUCAGGAGGUUUUCGUGAAGUACUUGAGGAGUCAUCUUUAGGCGUUGAAAUUGAAUCCUUGCGUGCUCGUGAAUCUCUGAAUGCUGACGAGAAAGCUGCUUAUGAUGAGAUCAUAGGCCGUGUCGAUUACAACUUACCCGGUGUUUUUUUCAUAGAUGGUCCCGGUGGAACCGGGAAAACAUUUCUAUACAAUGCCUUGCUUGCAGACAUUGGCGGAUCUACCUUAUAGUUAAGGGGUUCAUAUGACCCUCCUUGCAAAUAAAAUAAUCUUAGAGAAGUGAUGUAAAUCUAACUAGGACCCUCCUUACAAAAUGUAAAGGAACCUCCUUGGAAGAAAAACAAACAAUAAAAGAAAGCUUGAUAGUUUUGUUUAGUGGUGAAAUCUAAAUUUGAGUUUCUGUGUGAAAGAAAUAUUUGUGUAGUAAUGCCCUUUAAACUUUAACAUGAUACAUAAUCUUCAUUUUUUAA